GAUGAAGAACGUAGCGAAAUGCGAUAAGUAAUGUGAAUUGCAGAUUUCCAGUGAAUCAUCGAGUCUUUGAACGCACAUUGCGCCCCCUGGUAUUCCGGGGGGCAUGCCUGUCCGAGCGUCAUUGCUGCCCUCAAGCACGGCUUGUGUGUUGGGCCUCCGCCCCCCGGCUCCCGGGGGGCGGGCCCGAAAGGCAGCGGCGGCACCGCGUCCGGUCCUCGAGCGUAUGGGGCUUCGUCACCCGCUCCGUAGGCCCGGCCGGCGCCCGCCGGCGACCCCCCUCAAUCUUUCCAGGUUGACCUCGGAUCAGGUAGGGAUACCCGCUGAACUUAAGAAUAUCAAUAAGCGGAGGA
RNAcentral lists this unclassified non-coding RNA (350 nucleotides) under soil metagenome. RNAcentral describes it as "partial contains 5.8S ribosomal RNA, internal transcribed spacer 2, and large subunit ribosomal RNA". The stretch from base 1 to 121 matches the Rfam family "5.8S ribosomal RNA", at positions 35 to 154 of the family's 154-position model. The record is from RNAcentral.